This 429-nucleotide ribosomal RNA is filed under the name Gemmatimonadota bacterium. Its description in RNAcentral is "Gemmatimonadetes bacterium partial 16S ribosomal RNA". It matches the Rfam family "Bacterial small subunit ribosomal RNA", at positions 355 to 776 of the family's 1533-position model. The record is from RNAcentral. Lineage: Bacteria; Pseudomonadati; Gemmatimonadota.
UAGGGAAUCUUCGGCAAUGGACGAAAGUCUGACCGAGCAACGCCGCGUGAGUGAAGAAGGUUUUCGGAUCGUAAAACUCUGUUGUUUGAGAAGAACAAGGACGUUAGUAACUGAACGUCCCCUGACGGUAUCUAACCAGAAAGCCACGGCUAACUACGUGCCAGCAGCCGCGGUAAUACGUAGGUGGCAAGCGUUGUCCGGAUUUAUUGGGCGUAAAGUGAGCGCAGGCGGUUUCUUAAGUCUGAUGUGAAAGCCCCCGGCUCAACCGGGGAGGGUCAUUGGAAACUGGGAGACUUGAGUGCAGAAGAGGAGAGUGGAAUUCCAUGUGUAGGGGUGUAAUGCGUAGAUAUAUGGAGGAACACCAGUGGCGAAGGCGGCUCUCUGGUCUGUAACUGACGCUGAGGCUCGAAAGCGUGGGGAGCAAACAGG